Molecule: ribosomal RNA, 465 nt
Filed under: Parvimonas micra
Lineage: Bacteria; Bacillati; Bacillota; Tissierellia; Tissierellales; Peptoniphilaceae
Description: bacterial SSU rRNA
Rfam family: Bacterial small subunit ribosomal RNA
Source: RNAcentral
GACGAACGCUGGCGGCGUGCUUAACACAUGCAAGUCGAACGUGAUUUUUGUGGAAAUUCUUUCGGGAAUGGAAAUGAAAUGAAAGUGGCGAACGGGUGAGUAACACGUGAGCAACCUACCUUACACAGGGGGAUAGCCGUUGGAAACGACGAUUAAUACCGCAUGAGACCACAGAAUCGCAUGAUAUAGGGGUCAAAGAUUUAUCGGUGUAAGAAGGGCUCGCGUCUGAUUAGCUAGUUGGAAGGGUAAAGGCCUACCAAGGCGACGAUCAGUAGCCGGUCUGAGAGGAUGAACGGCCACAUUGGAACUGAGACACGGUCCAAACUCCUACGGGAGGCAGCAGUGGGGAAUAUUGCACAAUGGGGGGAACCCUGAUGCAGCGACGCCGCGUGAGCGAAGAAGGUUUUCGAAUCGUAAAGCUCUGUCCUAUGAGAAGAUAAUGACGGUAUCAUAGGAGGAAGCCCC